UCGAUUUUACAUAAAUAUCGA
Molecule: non-coding RNA, 21 nt
Filed under: Caenorhabditis elegans
Lineage: Eukaryota; Metazoa; Nematoda; Chromadorea; Rhabditida; Rhabditidae
Source: RNAcentral